GCGGGGUGGAGCAGUCUGGUAGCUCGUCGGGCUCAUAACCCGAAGGUCGCAGGUUCAAAUCCUGCCCCCGCC
Molecule: transfer RNA, 72 nt
Filed under: Acidimicrobiales bacterium
Lineage: Bacteria; Bacillati; Actinomycetota; Acidimicrobiia; Acidimicrobiales
Also listed under: 1 other name
Description: tRNA-Met
Rfam family: tRNA
About the family: Transfer RNA (tRNA) molecules are approximately 80 nucleotides in length. Their secondary structure includes four short double-helical elements and three loops (D, anti-codon, and T loops).
Source: RNAcentral